CACUGCAGUCGAGCGGAUGUAAAGGAAGCUUGCUCCUGGAUUCAGCGGCGGACGGGUGAGUAAUGCCUAGGAAUCUGCCUGGUAGUGGGGGACAACGUUUCGAAAGGAACGCUAAUACCGCAUACGUCCUACGGGAGAAAGCAGGGGACCUUCGGGCCUUGCGCUAUCAGAUGAGCCUAGGUCGGAUUAGCUAGUUGGUGAGGUAAUGGCUCACCAAGGCGACGAUCCGUAACUGGUCUGAGAGGAUGAUCAGUCACACUGGAACUGAGACACGGUCCAGACUCCUACGGGAGGCAGCAGUGGGGAAUAUUGGACAAUGGGCGAAAGCCUGAUCCAGCCAUGCCGCGUGUGUGAAGAAGGUCUUCGGAUUGUAAAGCACUUUAAGUUGGGAGGAAGGGUUGUAGAUUAAUACUCUGCAAUUUUGACGUUACCGACAGAAUAAGCACCGGCUAACUCUGUGCCAGCAGCCGCGGUAAUACAGAGGGUGCAAGCGUUAAUCGGAAUUACUGGGCGUAAAGCGCGCGUAGGUGGUUCGUUAAGUUGGAUGUGAAAUCCCCGGGCUCAACCUGGGAACUGCAUCCAAAACUGGCGAGCUAGAGUAUGGUAGAGGGUGGUGGAAUUUCCUGUGUAGCGGUGAAAUGCGUAGAUAUAGGAAGGAACACCAGUGGCGAAGGCGACCACCUGGACUGAUACUGACACUGAGGUGCGAAAGCGUGGGGAGCAAACAGGAUUAGAUACCCCUGGUAGUCCACGCCGUAAACUA
RNAcentral lists this ribosomal RNA (763 nucleotides) under Pseudomonas fluorescens. Its description in RNAcentral is "bacterial SSU rRNA". It matches the Rfam family "Bacterial small subunit ribosomal RNA", at positions 52 to 809 of the family's 1533-position model. Lineage: Bacteria; Pseudomonadati; Pseudomonadota; Gammaproteobacteria; Pseudomonadales; Pseudomonadaceae. The record is from RNAcentral.